This 113-nucleotide microRNA precursor is filed under the name Canis lupus familiaris (dog). RNAcentral describes it as "miRNA (ENSCAFG00845007291.1)". The stretch from base 1 to 79 matches the Rfam family "mir-8834 microRNA precursor family", at positions 27 to 105 of the family's 105-position model. The record is from RNAcentral. Lineage: Eukaryota; Metazoa; Chordata; Mammalia; Carnivora; Canidae.
CAGCUCUGGAAACCUGGAUUCAGCCCCCGCAGUAACUCUGGAGCUCUCCGUCUGCAGGGCCUGGAGGCUCCGGGGCGGGGCCGCUGAUCUGCUCAGCUCGGGGCAGGAGCGUC